ACUCAAAGGAAUAGACGGGGGCCCGCACAAGCGGCGGAGCAUGCGGAUUAAUUCGAUGCAACGCGAAGAACCUUACCAAGGCUUGACAUACACCGGAAGCAUGCAGAGAUGUGUGUGCCCUUGUGGCUGGUGUACAGGUGGUGCAUGGUUGUCGUCAGCUCGUGUCGUGAGAUGUUGGGUUAAGUCCCGCAACGAGCGCAACCCUUGUCUCGUGUUGCCAGCAAUUCGGUUGGGGACUCACGAGAGACUGCCGGGGUUAACUCGGAGGAAGGUGGGGAUGACGUCAAAUCAUCAUGCCCCUUAUGUCUUGGGCUUCACGCAUGCUACAAUGGCCGGUACAGAGUGUUGCGAUACUGUGAGGUGGAGCGAAUCACUUAAAGCCGGUCUCAGUUCGGAUUGGGGUCUGCAACUCGGCCCCAUGAAGUCGGAGUCGCUAGUAAUCGCAGAUCAGCAACGCUGCGGUGAAUACGUUCUCGGGCCUUGUACACACCGCCCGU
This 497-nucleotide ribosomal RNA is filed under the name uncultured bacterium. RNAcentral's name for it is "bacterial SSU rRNA". It matches the Rfam family "Bacterial small subunit ribosomal RNA", at positions 899 to 1397 of the family's 1533-position model. The record is from RNAcentral.